GACUAUUUUGGCCUCCAGUUGAAAAUUUUGAUAUCAGGAAGAUCUGGUAACUGCACCUGCAAGGAAAAUGAUUGCAGAAUCUUAUUAUUUCUAUCUAUUGGGUACUGUUUUUAGGUCAAAUACAAGGCUUUGUAAGAAAGUGAUUGUGGAUUGUGUGGUAUAUAUUAUUUUUUUUAUGUAAUUGCCACUUUGCCUAAUACCAUGAUUCUUUUGCUUUAAUAUACUGAACCGACUAGAAGGCCCAGUUAAUUGCACAUUGGGAAUUGUCAAACUCUUGACAGGGAGUGGCUGAAGGAGGAUUAAUUCUAAGCAAGCUGUUGUGUCCUCGUCCCUUAUUAUUUGCUCUCCAAUAAUAAGUAAUGAUAUCAGAGAAGG
Molecule: long non-coding RNA, 375 nt
Organism: Penaeus monodon (black tiger shrimp)
Lineage: Eukaryota; Metazoa; Arthropoda; Malacostraca; Decapoda; Penaeidae
Exons: 3
Source: RefSeq, a predicted model, not a curated record